CCUACGGGUGGCAGCAGUGGGGAAUAUUGCACAAUGGGGGGAACCCUGAUCCAGCGACGCCGCGUGCGUGAAGAAGUAUUUCGGUAUGUAAAGCUCUAUCAGCAGGGCAGAAAAUGACGGUACCUGACUAAGAAGCCCCGGCUAACUACGUGACAGCCGCCGCGGUAAUACGUAGGGGGCAAUGGUUAUCCGGAUUUACUGGGUGUAAAGUGAGCGUAGACGGUGAAGCAAGUCUGAGGUUAAAGGUCGGGGGCCAACCCCGGGGCGGCAUUGGAAACUGUUGAACUGGAGUACAGGAGAGGUAAGCGGAAUUCCUAGUGUAGCGGUGAAAUGCGUAGAUAUUAGGAGGAACACCAGUGGCGAAGGCGGCUUACUGGACUGUAACUGACGCUGAGGCUCGAAAGCGUGGGGAGCAAACAGGAUUAGAUACCCCAGUAGUC
RNAcentral lists this ribosomal RNA (440 nucleotides) under uncultured bacterium. RNAcentral describes it as "partial 16S ribosomal RNA". It matches the Rfam family "Bacterial small subunit ribosomal RNA", at positions 338 to 795 of the family's 1533-position model. The record is from RNAcentral.